GACGAACGCUGGCGGCGUGCUUAACACAUGCAAGUCGAACGGACAGGCCCUGCUUUUGUGGGGUGCUCGAGUGGCGAACGGGUGAGUAACACGUGAGUAACCUGCCCCUGACUUUGGGAUAACUUCAGGAAACUGGGGCUAAUACCGGAUAGGAGCUCCUGCUGCAUGUUGGGGGAUGGAAAGUUUCGGCGGUUGGGGAUGGACUCGCGGCUUAUCAGCUUGUUGGUGGGGUAGUGGCUUACCAAGGCUUUGACGGGUAGCCGGCCUGAGAGGGUGACCGGCCACAUUGGGACUGAGAUACGGCCCAGACGCCUACGGGAGGCAGCAGUGGGGAAUAUUGCACAAUGGGCGGAAGCCUGAUGCAGCAACGCCGCGUGCGGGAUGACGGCCUUCGGGUUGUAAACCGCUUUCGCCUGUGACGAAGCGUGAGUGACGGUAAUGAGUAAAGAAGCACCGGCUAACUACGUG
RNAcentral lists this ribosomal RNA (468 nucleotides) under uncultured bacterium. RNAcentral describes it as "partial 16S ribosomal RNA". It matches the Rfam family "Bacterial small subunit ribosomal RNA", at positions 28 to 507 of the family's 1533-position model. The record is from RNAcentral.